GGGCUCACGUUUCUUCUUCUCCAUUAGAGAAAAAAAGCAGCAGCGGCACAUUACAGAAAACGAUCCCCUCUCCCGCUGAAGCUUCGUCGUCUUUUUCGAGACCUCACCCGACCCGUUUUUUUUCCUUCAACUCCUCCUCUCGCCAGUCAGUGGCGAACUCGCCGGAAAACUCACAAAGCUCCAUCGCCACUGCUCCUUCUUCUUCGUCUAUCAUAGCUACAACAGCCAUGGAACCUGCUUGAAUCCUCCAUAAAACAGUUCAGCUUCGAAACAGAUCCAAACCCAGCGUGAAAACACACAAGAGAAGCGGUCUCGCUUUCGUAUAGGAACAAAUCUCGAACUGCUACUAUUUUCGCAGAAAAACAUCCCAAAAUAAUUUUAAACCAUCCGUUACUGUCAUGGAGUUCGCUGGUCUCGUUUUUUAGUUUUAGUUCGAGUUUUCCGGCGAGUUUCAAGGCUUCCAUGUCGAGGCUCCGGUUCGUUAGUUUCAUUGUUUCAGCCUGCGGAUCAUGGCUCUGGUAUGUUUCUUAGAGUUCAUUGAUUCCUGUUGCUGCUUGUUGCGUCACUUUCUGUCCUCGAACUUCUUUCGUAAUUUAUUCUCACGUCAUACUAAUUACGGGUUCGUCGAUGUAUUCAGUUUCGUUUCAUUUUUGCUUUACCACUGUUGGUUUUGGUUUACAUGUUAUCAAGUAUACAGUAUAAUUAUGGUGUAUUAUGACUUGAAGCCUAGUGUUGUUUUAUUUUCUGUGAAGCUUGAGCAAAUUAUCUUUUAUUUCCAUGUUUUAGUUUUUUUUGUUUUGUUUAAGCAAAUGAUAGGCUGUCAUGUACAUGCCGCUUGGCUAAACAAUAAUUGAAGGUCAUUAUUUGGGGGAAGUGUUAAAUUUAAUUUGCAAAGUUUAUUCAUUGAAUGUUCUUGACCAUGUCUAAAGUGAAAGCAUCGUAUAUUCAUUAUUGACUGUGUAUCUGAGCGUUCAUUUGGGCAUAAUUGAGGGAUGUUAAGUUGGUAUUUUGGUAGGACACCAUCUUAAUUUGCCAAAUUUUAUUGUCCAUUAAAUUGCUUUAAUUAUGUUAAGUCAAUUUGUGAUAAUUAGAAUCCUGCAAAAUCCAGUGACCUUGUUUAUAUGGUAUCAUAUGAAAGGAUAACUACAAUCUUUUAGGUAAAAUGGGUCACGUCAUCUGUUGAGUGGGAUGUGUUUGUCUAUUCCAAGGGAUAAUUAAUUAGUUAUUAAAAAUGAAUAUCCGUAAUUGAAUGUCUUUCCUUUAAUAAAAGUGAGGUGUGCCGUGCCAAAUAAAAAUUACAAUUGCGUGGUUCUCACUUUACUUGCUUUUGAAUUGAUCCUUAGAUUCCGAGGCGUGCCAUUUAGCUAAAUUUCAUGGCCCUCGCAAAUUACAAAUUCGGAAUUACUUUAGGCACGUUAGUUAAUAAUACUACCUUCUUAAACUCGGGUGUGCAUUGAUGCAACCCAAAUCCAAAUCUCGACGAAGUCGAAAUGUGUUGACAACCACGGGUGCCUUGAUGGCGACGGGGUUAAAAAUGCGUUUUCAUGACGUCGUAAUUCUUAUAAAACAAAUAGUAAUUGAAAAAUGGUUCAAAAAUGGAGACGAGCCUCACUGAACAAGAAUAAAUGUGGGGCCCUCAAUAUUUGGUUAUUUAAAAAUGAUUAGAAUUUGGAAGGGUCGUUUAGCGAAUUUCAACGGCCUUUCCCAAACAAUAUUACGUUAGAACCUUUAAGCGUGAUUUAAUUAAAUUAUUUUCUUAAAUUUGGGUGCGCAUUGAUGCGACCCAAAUCCAAAUCUCGACGAAGUCAAAAUAUGUUGACAACCACAGGUGCCUUGAUGGCGACGUGGUCAGGGACGCGUUUUCACGACGUCGCAAGUCUUUUAAAAUAAAUAAUGUUAAAAGCGGUAUAUAAAUAAAAGGCACAUAAGUUAGCAUGUACUAAAAUCAGAUAAAAUCAAAUGCAACAGUUAAGCGACCGUGCUAGAACCACAGAACCUGGGAAUGCCUAACACCUUUUUCCGGGUAAACAGAAUUCCUUAUUCGGAUUUCUGGUUCGCGGACUGUGAACAGAGUCAUCUUUUUCCUCGGUUCAGGAUUCAAUUGGUGACUUGGUGAACCCGGGAAUGCCUGACACCUUCUCCCGGAUUAACAGAAUUCCUUACUCGUAUUUCUGGUUCGCAGACUGUAACAGAGUCAUGUUUUUCCUCGGUUUGGGAUUCAACCGCUGACUUGGGACACCAUUAGUCUCCCAAGUGGCGGCUUUGAAUAAUUAAUAAACUAAAUCCCGUUCUGAUUGUCCUUUAAUUGGAAAAACUCCUUUACGCCCUUUUACGGGGGUGUACAGCGAAAAAGGAGGUGUGACACUCAUUAAUAAGCCUAUAACCAUGUACAAACCCUAGACGACCCAAAUCAAUGUGAUCAUCUUCCAACCAACACGUGUAGUGUGACACAAACCUGUCAUUAUACCUGUCUGGUUCAAUAGAUUCCUUCCCUAAGACGAGCUUGCACUGCCACAUGUGCUGAGCUUGACAAAUGUGCGGGCUAUCAUCAUCUUGAAAGGCGGCCCUAAAAUGACUCAUCUUCUCUAUCCUUGGUAUGAUCUGCUUUCUUCCAGCUUGAUUCAUGGAUCGGAGAGGAACACAAGGUAAGUUCCUCUUAAGCCGAUGAGUAUAAGGAAUGGUGUAUCUCAAGAACGGAUAAUGAACUCCCUUGUUGGGAACCACUUGCUCUUCCUUUAGAUUUUCAAACAGCUCUACCCAUCCACUGGCAUCCUAUGGAUGAACAAACAUGUUGGGCAUGAAGUUCAUGCGCUUUGGGUGGUGAAAAGUGAUAUGGUCAUCCCAGUCCCUGCGUAUGAUUUCCUGUCUGUAGUCGCCUUCCUGAAGGUGUUCUAUGAGCCAAAGCUGAAGUAACAGAUUGCACCUUCCAAAGUGUGGGGCUCCUUGCUCACAUUUUCCUAAAGCUCAAUACAUUUCGGCAAUGAUCAUUGGCAUUAUGCUGAAAGAAUGCCCAUCAAUACCCUCCAUCAAGGCUUUGGAAACCAUGGCUAGUUUGGUGUGGAUCCUAGCCUUCUUCAUCGGAAAGAUCAUCAUACCCAAGAAGCAGAACAUGAACACAAAGACCCUUUUAUGUAUGUGCCCCAAAGAUGUAAGGGCGAACUCAUCAGGGUAGGUGCAGAGACCUUGUUGUGGCCAAACCUUUCAUAUAGGAAGUCAAGUGGUAUGUAGGACUCCUUUAGACAAGUCAGAUCGGGAUUCUUCUUAAGUCCCAUCAUUUUAAGGAAACCCCUUCCUUUGCGAUUUUCUGGCAUAAGUAGACCUGGAGUCUCCCAGAGUAUUCCUGCUAGACCCCCUAUUUCUUCCAGCAACGGGGUCAUCUUGAGGUCCCCGAAGCAAAAAUCUUACAUGUCACUGUCCCAGAAUAGAGUGUCAGCUUCGAUAAUCUUGUUGUCAAGCUUAACUUCCAAAAGUGAAGGAAGGUUUCCUAAGUAUUUGCGGACGAGGGUCUGAUCACUGGCAUGAUGGGGUUCUCAAGGUCCCCGAAGCGAAAAGCUGACCUAUCACUAUCCCAGAAUAAAGUAGGAGCUUCGAUAAUCUUGUUUUUAGGCUUAACUUCCAAAAGUGAAUGAAGGUUUCCUAAGUAUUUGCGGAUGAGGGUCUGAUCACUGGCAUGAAGGUCCUCCCACCAGCUUUACAACCUCGGGUGAAUGUUGGAUACUAUACCGAAUCUGGGGACUUUGUGCCUCAUUUUCUACAAAACAAAGUGUUAGGCUCUUAACCCCACCAGACUCGACUAUUUAAAUAAAUAAUUAGCAAAAAAGACAUUUAGUUCUCCAAAUAAAUGCACAUUACGUGGAGAUGUUCGUUUAGGUUCCGAGGAAACUCGGUGGACUUUGGUUUAGGCUAUCUUAAUGAGUUAUUAUGUGGACAACAUAACUGACUCGGCUAGGGUUGACCAUUAUGCAUGAACAGUUUAAUGGAAUAAGGUUUCUACUUUUGAAGUUCUAGAAAAUGUACCCUUGAGCGGACAACUCAAGAGGGAAAGGCGCAGAACCGUCGAAUACACCGUUGAUCGACUGGUUUUACUGCAGAUAUGCCUUUGCCACAUUUAUAAUAUUAGAAGGGCGCAACAACUCAUUAUAAGCGUUGAUAUAGGAUUUGUUUUGGCAUGAGUGGAAUAUGAUGUUGAGGAAUGCAAUUACAACAAUGAAACAAAUUACAUGUAUUUUCACAUUCAUAAAGUAAAGAUUACAAUAAAUGGUCGGAAUUGAAAUAAUAAUAAGGCAAUAAAAGAAAGAAAAAGGAAAGAAAACCAUUAAGAGCCAAGUUAGUAUUCAUGAUGAAAUAAUUAAAGGCAAGAAAAUACAGGCAAUUAAGGGAGCGAUAAAGUCACAAAAGCACGUAAUGGUAAAAGCCUUAAAGUCUCCCCAGCAUAGUCGCCAUGAUGUCGACGCUCCCUCUUUUUUCAAAAGAGUGUAAUUGGUUUUACGACAUUAUGGACAAAACAUUUCUAAUUGGUUUUUGAAGAGUCGCCACCUAAUGAUUAUAGUGCAUUAGGACACUUAAAAGAAAAGAAGAAGAUUGUUGAAGGAAGACUAGAGUUCGGGUAAGGGCUUGAGAUUUUCUCGAGGAGAAGGUGUUACGCACCCCUCAAGAUCCACUAGUGUGGUUCCCGGCCGUACUUAGUUGUGACUUUAAGAAGAGUAAAAGUAAACAAACAAUGUUUGCACAUAAGGAAUAAAUUGGAAGUUUUGAAAGAAAAGAUAGGGAAAAGACAUAAGUGGUUUUGGAAAAAGAUUAAUUGAAGAAAACAUUAAUUCUUAACAAAACAUCACAUCAUAUAAAUAAAGAAAAGGGGUCCUAGGUAUAAAUAUAAUAUGGAUCAGUUUGGUACAAUAAACAGCAACCAUUCUCAUAAGUGAUAUUAGCGCACCAGUCAUCAUAUCCAUAUUCUACCCUUCCCACCUCGUUAAUGUAGUGCACCAGUCACCAUAUACAUAUUCUACCCUUCCUACCCCAUUAAGUUAUUAAACAUGAUUAGUCUCAUUUACUUAUUGCAUAUUAAUACCCGUCCCAACCUGUCAGUCCCGGGUUCAAGACUCCUAAUCCUAAAAAGGGGAAGCAUAGGCAUAUGUGGAGUUUCAAAAGGAUAAAAGGCUAAGGCGACAAGCAAAACAAGUAGCAAAUAUUGAAGGACGAAACAAAUACACGAAAGGCUCAUUUAAACCCCAUGAAUCACAUAGAAAUUAGUUUAGCAUGUCUUGCAUAUACUGAUUUGGUCUUUAAUAUUAAACGGUGGACAGAUUAAUUAACACAUAGAGUUGGAUACAAAGUCUGCAUUAGGCAACCCAGAUCCAAUUGUUAGAAGUUGGGGUAUUUUGUACAAGUUAUUGAUUUCAGACAAGAGCCUAAUGUAGAAGAGUUAGAAAAUAGAAAGUUGAAAAUUGCAGAGGUUCAGAAAUGACUUUGAAAUCUACAUAUUUGCGUGAGUGAAAAACAAGAGAGUCAUGAAAUGUCAUAAUACUUUAAAAGAAAAAGUGAGCGAAGGGACUGUUUUGAAAGAUAGUUUCAAAAGAUACAUGAAAUUUAGGUAUAAGGUUUAAAAGAAUUGUUUCAGACAGACUUGCAAAAUUUGGAAAGCAUUACAUGCUUAUAAGAGUUUUGAAAACGUGAUACCGAAACACUAAAACCAGUUAUCGAUUUACUACUUAAAUAGAUUAAGCGAUACGGACUUGUUUUGAAUUUUACGGAGUUGGUAAAUAGACGGCAUGUCCGGUUAUCCUAUGGUUUUGCCUAUGCGUAUAUAUUUCCUAUAGACAUGGUUUCUAUUGCAUGAAUAUUAAGUCCUAUAGGCAAGAUUUCUGAUGACUUGCAAUAUGACUGAAUAUUACACCUUAUAGGCAAAAUUUCUAUAUGAUCGGAUUGUGUGUUAUGCAUUAAAUCUAUAGGCAUGAUAUCUAAGUAGUGUAGUUCAAACAUUAGAACUCUAUAGGCAUAAUAUCUAAAUAAUUGAAUUACAACAUGAAUCCUAUAAGCAUGGUAUCUAAGUGGUCGAGUUCAAAUAUUAAAACCAUAUAGGCAUGAUAUCUAAGUGAUUGAAUUGCAACAUGAAUCCUAUGAGCAUGGUAUCUACCUUUGGAUGCAAAAAUAAACAUAGACCCAUCCCAUGCCCCUUACUAAUUUAUCCCCGAGUUCUUUUUACAAGAUUAUUACAAAAUUAGAAGAGAGAAUGUAAACAAAAAUACAUCAUAGCCCACAGCUAGAUCCGAGCAGCCUAAUAUCCAAUACAUGUGUUUCACCAAAUUCGGAUUCAAAAUUCCAAGGUCUUCUCUUAUUCAUAGUGUUUCAAAGUUCCAAGGAGCUUCAAGAGCUCAGUCAAUGCUUACAUUGUAACAGAAUAGUGUAAGUGUAGAAUUACCAGCCCUCAGGCAUCCAAGUUCAGAGGACACUCCAAGGUCCCUAAGCAUGGCUUACCAAUAGGGGGGGGUAGAACUUAGGAACUAGGAAUGAGUGCAAAGUGAGAGGGAAACCAUAGCAGAGGGUUGUCAUACCCAGCUAUGGCAUAGGCUGGCACACCCCUGACCCUUUGCUUAGGUCAAACAAAUAGGAGCAGACUCUAGGGAGUCAAACUUAGAGUCUGAGUGGUGAUUAGGACACUACCAGACCCAAUUUAAGGCUCAACACAUAAAGGGAAUAGGGAAUGGGAAAGCAUUUGAGUAGACUCAGGAGAGUCUGAUUCUGGAUAAUGGACAACAAUAUCAGAUGCUGCCUUGAUUCAGAACAGUACUAGCACACAAAAAGGGAAUAUGGGGAAAAGAUUUUCAUACAGAAGCAUACACUAACAUAAAAAAAUAUAAGAAAACAUAGCAGACUGCAGAUGCAAAGAUCUAUAAGAACAUGCUAUAGAACAUGAACACAUAGUGAUGAAUGUGUAGAAGAAGAGAAGUAAAUACACAUAAUAGGAAAGUGUUAUUUAACUUAGAAGCACAUACCAGUUUUGAGUUCUAGUACCGCAGAGAAACAAUAGCAAGUAGCAACCAGACAGUUAGCAGAAAACUUCAGCAAGUACUUGGGAGUUCAGAAGAACUACAGAAAUAUUCAGACAAUAGGAGAUAAAGGAGCAGAGUGCUUGGUAGCAGUAGAGAAGGUAGUAGUAGAGAGCGUAGUAGUAGAGAAAAUAGUAAAGAAAGACAUGGGUGAUUAUGUGUUGCAAAGGUUCAGAAAGAAUUCUGAGAACUGUGUUGUGUUCGAGUGUUUUUGUGUAAAAACUUGUGUUUUUUUAACUUGUGAGAGUUGUGAGCUUUUAUAGUGCAAAAAUGAGUAGACAAGAAGUCAAGGAAAUAAAAUCUCAGUCAAUCAAAUAAAAUCUCCCUUAGUCAAAGGGAUUUGAUUUCAAAAAAAGAAUUCUGAGAACUGUGUUGUGUUCGAGUGUUUGUGUAAAAACUUAUCCUAGAACUUCUGAGAGCUGUGAGCUUUUAUAGUGCAAAAAAACGAGUAGACAAGAAGGCAAGAAAAUAAAAUCUCAGUCAAUCAAAUAAAAUCUCCCUUAGUCAAAGGGAUCUGAUUUCAAACAUGAGUGGUAAUUAAGGGAAGAAAAACCUUUCAGAGUAUCAUAAUAAAGGGUAGGUUCAUACAGAGUCUAUUUAAGGUAAGAAACUAUAGUACACGGUUUUGAAAGAAUAAGGAAACAAAGUAAUCAAAUAGCCGGAAAGUUUUAAAAGCUUUUAAUGAACUUAGUCGGGAAAAUAGGGAAAAGGCUAAGUUGUAAAAAUUAGUAGCAAAUCAAUCGAGCCUUAGCGAAGGGGAUUGAAAUCAAUCAAAAACUAACAAUAUUAAUUCAAAAAGAACAAAACCCUCGCAUAUAAGCACGCUAGUAUCAAGCAAGAAGAAAGAUUGACAUAAACAGUUUUUGAAUCAUAAGCAAAAAAGGAAAGCAAGUUUCAGUUCAGUCUAUGAACUCAGCACAAAUUUGAGAGCCUAAGGUUUCUAGAGUAGAACCCUAGAACCAAAAGCUCGCGAAACCCCCCAGGUUUCUAUCCGAGUAGGACACACAAAAGAGAAGGCAAACUCAACAAGCCUAAAAGAGUUCCCUGAGGAAAUACAUAGACACACGUAGCAAUCAAAAGCAGUAGAGUGAAAGCUUGUAAAGAACAAGUUUUAAGAAAACUAAAACUCAGACCAGUUCAGAGAAGAGAUGCCAUAAGAGUUUAGGAAACAGUGAAAGAAGCAACUUCAAUAACCCAAAUAGAUUCAGUAAAAGUAAACACUUUCAGUAGCAGAAAUAGUAAAGGGACAAGCAAGAUAGGCGUAUAAACAUGUUUGUAGAAAAAUCAGUAGAAGCGAUAAUAGAACAAAGGCGAAAAGACAUGCAUAUUAACGACAAAUCAUAAGGAACAAACAAAAAUCCCCUAUAGCAUGGAAUGAACACACAGAUCCACAUAAAGAAAGAAGAAGAAGAAGAAGAAGAAGAAGAAGAAGAAGAAGAAGAAGAAGAAGAAUCAUUUUAGGAUUUUUGAAAAACCCUAAUUUGAACAGACUAAUUUUGAAAAGAAAAAUUAGGUGAAGUCCUUAAAACAUAGAAUAGAGCACAGAUCUGCUACAUAUCUAAGAAAAAAAGGAAAGAAAAACCUCGAAUCAAGCUUUUUAGGGUUUUCUCAGAAACCCUAUAGAUGAGAAGGCCUGGAAUGGUCUGGUCCCUAAACAAAUCUGGGCCAAGGCUAAGCUUUUCAGAGCUCAAACACACCGGAAUGGAGCCAGAGAAGCCAAAGGAGCUCAGGUCAGCGGAGGACCUGAAUAGGUUUGUUGAAGGUUGAACCUUGAAAGCCUCGGAUAAUCAUGGCUUGGGGUGAAAGGGUGGAGAAUAUAGGCUGUCCAUGGCCUAAGAAGCCAUGGAUGCCGGUGGAUUUGAUCGGAGACGAAAGUAGGCGGCUAGGGUUUUCGAGUGGCCUAGAGAGCAUUUGAGAGAAGAAAGGAUAUGGGGGCGGCGGUCUUAGAGAAAUGAUUUAGGGUUAGGGUAAUUGGAAAUUAAAAAAGGUAAGAAGAAACGUGGGCCGUUGAUCAAAAUGAUCAACGGCCAGGAUUGAAUGGCGGAACCGGGCGGGUUUAACGAAUUGGGUUUUGGGCGGGUUGGAUUGAAAUUGGAUCUUUUAAUUGGGGUUGAAUUGAGGUCCAAAUUGAAGUCCAAUUGUGGCUAAAAUUGAAAUGGAAAUGGGUCGGCUUUUAAAUAGUCAUUUUUCCUCUCUUCAAUUAAUUAAAAUAGUUAAAAAUAACUUUAAAAUAAAUUGGAAGUACUGUUAUACCACAUUUUAAUACGGUUCAAACUAGAGUAUAACAUAUUGGCAAUUCUGAAGGUUUAAUUAAAUAAAAAGAGUCACCACCUAAUUAUUUUAACGGUGAAUUAGGACACCAAUUUUAACAUUUUAGCUAAGUAGUGCUUAAAAUUAACUCUGUUUAUGAUCUACUUAACCUUAGAGAUUAUGGAUAAGGGUUCUACGUAAUCCUAUAGAGAAGGUUAUGAAGGCACCCUAUAUGAUCCGUUAACUACGGUUAACCGGCCAAACUUAGGUUAAUUGAGUUUUUAAAAAAAGUAAGUAGUAACAUAUAGCAAACCUUAUUAUCAAAAAUGUUCAUAAUAUUGUAUUUACCCGCCUAGUUCAUAGUUUUGCUACAAAAUCUAUACCAAACCAAAAAUAGAUAGAUUAUACCCUAAAAAGGCGCCAAAUUUGUACAAAUCAGAUUUAAUGGUGAUUCUAUCACCAUUAGUUUCGAAAUUUAUAACGGAAGAAAAUCCAUUGCAGCGUAAUUCUUUCCUUCUCCAUAUAUUUUCCACCAUUGAUAGCCAUUAAAAAGCUUGAAAGCUUUGAAUUCAAAUUUGGAUUUUCAAAAAUUAUNNNNNNNNNNNNNNNNNNNNNNNNNNNNNNNNNNNNNNNNNNNNNNNNNNNNNNNNNNNNNNNNNNNNNNNNNNNNNNNNNNNNNNNNNNNNNNNNNNNNNNNNNNNNNNNNNNNNNNNNNNNNNNNNNNNNNNNNNNNNNNNNNGGUGAAAAUUAGACUUGGUUUUGUUUGAAUUUCAGAUUGAAACUCGUCGAAGAAGAAGAAGACAUAUUUUUUCAGAAAUUGUAGUUAAAUUGUAGAUAAUUUGUAGAUAAAUUAUAGAUUGGGAAGAUUAAAACUUCUACAAGUCUUCUACAAUUAUGUCUAAAAUACCAAUUAUACUACAAUUGAAAUGAGAAUUGGAAUAUUAAAAUUCAAUGUAUUCAGUUUGUAGAUACAAUUUCUACAAAUAAACUACAAAUCAGUUUAAGUAUUUUCCUUCUCCAUAAUUUUCCACCAUUGAUAGCCUUUAAAAAGCUUGAAAGCUUUGAAUUCAAAUUUGAAUUUUCAAAAAUCAUUAUCUGUUUGGAUUGGGUGUUGUUGUAAAUAAUUCAAAAUAUGUUUAGAGUUUAUAUCUCAAUUUUGAGGGGUUUUGACUGAAUUUCAGAUUGAAACUCGUCGAAGAAGAAGAAGACAUAUUUUUCCAGAAAUUGUAGUUAAAUUGUUGAAUUGUAGAAUUGUAGAUAAUUGUAGAUUGGGAGGACUAAAACUUCUACAAGUCUUUUACAAUUAUGUCAAAAAUUCCAAUUAUGCUACAAUUGAAAUCAGAAUUGGAAUAUUAAAAUUCAAUGUAUUCAGUUUAUAGAUACAAUUUCUAUAAAUAAACUACAAAUCAGUUUAGUAUUGUAUAAAGUUGUACUGUUACAUUUAUACUACAAUUAAACUACAAUCUUGUGUCAAAAAAAUUUAAGCAUACCAAAGUUAAUCAAUUCUUUCAAAAUUUCAAUUUUGAAAAAAUCUUCUUUAAAUACAAUACUUGAAGAAGUACUGUAUGAGUUUGAAGUGUAUGAGUUUCUACAACGCCUUCAAUUUGAUUUCUAUAAUAAUAAUUGGCGAGACUGCUGUUACUGUAUGUUGGUAUAUAUUCACUUUAGUUGUAUAUUUAACUCAUACCUUCAAGACUUAAUCUUUUGGAUAGUUCAAAGUAGAACUCAUCGCAGGAUAAUCUCCAUUUCUAAUCUGAAUCGAAUUCCUAAUAACUUACUAAGGAUUAAUACAAUAGGCGUUUGGACAAUAUUUGGUAAAAGCUGNNNNNNNNNNNNNNNNNNNNNNNNNNNNNNNNNNNNNNNNNNNNNNNNNNNNNNNNNNNNNNNNNNNNNNNNNNNNNNNNNNNGAAGUUGACAAUAAAAUGAGUAUUUGUACAUUUGAGCUUACAAACAAUACAAAUAUCACUUGGAAAACAUUGAGUAAUUUUCUGUUCAUUCGAAAUAAAAUAUUGUAAUUCGGUAACUUAUACACCUAAUGAAUUUAACAAUGAUUAUCGUAUAUUAAGGUGGAGGAAACAUAAGGAAAGAGAAGAUAAGGAAAAAAAGAGAAAAAAGGAAUAUAUGCUCCUAAAAUCAUGCCUAGAAUAAAUGAAGCAAUAAUUAUACCCUNNNNNNNNNNNNNNNNNNNNNNNNNNNNNNNNNNNNNNNNNNNNNNNNNNNNNNNNNNNNNNNNNNNNNNNNNNNNNNNNNNNNNNNNNNNNNNAAAUUGAAAUUUGGUAUGUUUAAAUGUAAUAAACACAAACCUUAAACAUGGGAGGUAAUAAGGUUUGCUAUAUGGUAUAGAUAGGUAAAAAUCCCUUUUCCUUUUUUCUUUGAAUAUUUCUUUGAGCUUCUAUUUAGAUUUAAAAUAAUUUUAUUAGCCAUAUCAUAUAAUACUACAUAAUAUUGUUAGUUGAGCUAUUUAAUGUUACUUAAAAUAUUUAUGGUAGCUAGAAUAUAAAUUUAAAAAGUAACCUACACUAAAGUGAAAUAUCAUCACAAGUAUAAAUAUUUUUGAGAUGUUUAAUUUAAAAAGUAUUAUUAACUAAUUAUGAAAAGAAAAGAAAAAUGUGUUUUUUAAAAAUAACAGUAAUAGUAAUAAUAAUAAUAAUAGAUAUAGCUAUAAUAUUUUUAAUAAUAAUAAUAAUAAUAAAUAGGCAUAGUUUGUAUUAAAAAUAUAGUAGAACAACUACCAUACAUUAUUAAUAAUAGUAGAUGAUUAAAGAAGUAAUUUGGAAGAAAGGGGGGACAAAAUUGGGUGCAACAAGUACAACACUAAUUAUAAUAUAUAAACAUUAAUAUAAAAAUAUAUGUAAUAAUGCUAUAAUUAUAAAACGCAGUUAAUUAUAAAAAUAUGCCAUAAUUGUCAUUCUGAAUAAUUUAGCUUAAAAAUAUCAAAUAAAUCUAUAAAAAAUAUGGAAAAAAUCAUCUUAAUUAUAUUUGGUGCAAAUAUAAGGAUGAAAAAUAAAUGAAUCACAAAAAUGACAAUUUGAGAAUAAUUAUUGGGAUUUUAUACUGUUAAAAUAGACAAUAAAUUGAUUCUAAAAAUCUUUAAAAAUUAGGGAAAUACCAAAACAUUUGGGGACGCUUAUAUAUGCAUAUAUAUGCUAUUUUGAAAGUAUUUUUGAAUAUAAAAUACGUAGAAAAAAAUUGGGUAUCAACAUUCACCAUUUUUUACUUCGGCUUGAGAACUUUUAGAUGGUUUGGAAGAUAGAUUUCAAGUGAACUUCGUUAAGGUAAGGAUUUUGUACAUAAAACAUAAUACUAUGGUAGUAUUUCAUGGAUUAAGGGUGCAAUUAAAGGGCUAAAAGUGGAGGAUUAGGGCUUGAGUUUAAGAGGCCUUUAAGGGAGGAUUUGAUGGGUCAUUUGGACUCCGAUUUUAGUGUUCUUUAUAUGCUUAGACUCGUUGGGAGACGAGGAAUCUAUUGAUGUAAAAAUUUCUGAGUUUCAAGAAGUGGGAUCGCGGGUCGAAUUUUGGUAAUUUCGAAAUUUGUGCCAUUUAUUGGUUAUUUCGUUGCGUCGUUCCCUUAGCAUAUUUUGAUGUCCUCGUUCUGAUUUUGGAUAGAUUCGAUAGGCACGGAUGGUGAUUCGAGGAGCAAAGGCAUCGCGAGCUAGAGAUUUAGCUGGUUCGAGGUGAGUAAUGAUGUAAAUGAUAUUUCGAGGAUUUAAAACCCAACAUUGGACUUCAUAGUGUUAUGUUGAGGUGAGACACACGCUUGAUGACUAGCGUGGGGUCAUGUACUAUUGGGGAUUAUGACUUGGUCCAUCUUGAUUGAUGAUUUUACCGCUUAUUUGACUGAAACUUACUUGCUACCAUCAUUAUUUGGACUGAAUGCCAUAUUUGGGCUUCGUGCCAAAUAUUUAAACCCUUCGGAGAUUUUUUAUUACUAUUUUCCUCACGAUUUUGACUUAUUACUUGAACUUAGUCAUGUUAAUUUUCACUGUUUUACUGCUCAGCCAUGUUUACUAGUGUUAAGACUUAAAUGAUAUUUUAAAUAAUGUUUGGGCUGAGAAAUACUGUUUUACUACUGUCUGAGGGGCUUGUGAUAAUUUUUGGACUGAGUAAGGCCGAUGGCCUAUAUUGUGAGAAAACAUUGAUACCUAUUUGAGGCCGAGGGAAUGAGAUAUGUACGCCACGAGGUGGAUAGAUUGAUAUGAGGCCAAGGGCCUAGUUUGAUGCCACGAGAUAGCUUGUUAUUGAGCUUGGAUCAUAAGGGGCCCCUCUAGGAGUCUGCAUACCCCUAGUCAGCGUAGGUACCCAUUGUGAUGUAUGAUUGAGCCCGAGGGGCUAGUACAAUUAUGAGAUGUUUCCCGAGUGGCGAAUUUGUUUGAUACUGUGCCCAAGGGGAGAACUUCUAUUUGUUUACUUUGUCAUAAUUAUAUGUCCGUUACAUGCUUACUAGUUGAAGAAUUUUACUUGAUUUUUAUUGAUUUUACUGAUUUUAAGUGAUUUUACUGCUUCAUUAUAGAAUGUCUUGCGCUUUACGUAUUUUCUUACUUUCAGUCAUAUUUACAUUUGUUACUCACUGAAUUGGAGUACUCAUUUUACUCCCUGCACUUUGUGUACAGAUCGAGCGUAGUUGGUACGGCUUCCGAGUGCUGAUCCCUCUAGUAUCAGGCGAGCUUUCGGAGAUUUCGAGGUAGUUGUUGAUUUGUCGUUUAUUUUACCAUUUUAGCGAAGCUAAGUUUUGUCAUUUGGAAGGCAAAGAAAAAGCAGAACUAGGGAAGGAAAGGUUCUCUAGAAAAGGGAGAUAUCACGUGAGGGAGAGAGAGAGUUGAGAAAUUUUUAUGGGUUUAUUUGACCAAACUUAAAUAAGGGUUAUUUUGGUCAUGAGGAAGGUAUUCUAGAGGGUUCCUGGACUUGGGCUAGCGAAUUGGGCUUUCACAUUGGGUUAGAUUAGUUGUUAAAUUUGGACUUCUUUAAUGAAUGGGCUUAACCGAAAUGGGCUAGUUCUUUUAAGGUUUUGGGCAUUUUCCUUUUUUCUUUGUAUAUUGCUUUGAGCUUCUAUUUAGAUUUAAAAUAAUUUUAUUAGUCAUAUUAUAUAAUACUACAUAAUAUUAUUAGUUGAGCUAUUUAAUGUUAAAAUAUUUAUGGUAGCUCGAAUUUAAAUUUGAAAAAUAACCUACACUAAAGUGAAAUAUCAUCAGAAGGGUAAAUAUGUUUGAGAUGUUUAAUUUAAAAAAGUAUUAUUAACUAAUUAUGUAAAGAAAAAAAUGUGUUUUUUAGAAAUAACAGUAAUAGUACUAAUAAUAAUAAUAAUAGUUAUAGCUAUAAUAUUUUUAAUAAUAAUAAUAAUAAUAAAUAGGCAUAGUUUGUAUUAAAAAUAUAGUAGAACAACUACCAUAUAUUAUUAGUAAUAGUAGAUGAUUAAAGAAGUUAUUUGGAAGAAAUGAUGGACAAAUUGGGUGUCAACAAGUACUACACUAAUUGAUAAUAUAUAAAAUUUAAUCUAAAAUAUAUGGAAUAAUGUCAUAAUUAUAAUUAUAAAACGCAGUAAAUUAUAAAAAUAGGCCAUAAUUGUCAUUCGGAACAAUUUAGCUUAAAAAUAUCAAAAAAAUCUAUAUAAAUAUGCAAAAAUCACCUUAAUUAUAUUUGGUGCAAAUAUAAGGAUGAAAAAUAAAUGGUUCACAAAAAUGGGAAUUUGAGAAUAAUUAUUGGGAUUUUAUACUGUUAAAAUAGACAAUAAAUUUAUUCUAAAAAUCUUUAAAAAUUAGGGAAAAUACCAAAACCUUUGGGGACGCAUAUAUAUGCAUAUACAUGCUAUUUUGAAAGUAUUUUGAAUAUAAAAAUACAUAGGAAAAUUGAGUAUCAACAUUCACCAUUUUUGACUUCGGCUUGAAAACUUUUAGAUGGUUUGGAAGAGAGAUUUCAAGUGAACUUCGUUAAGGUAAGGAUUUUGUACAUAAAACAUAAUUCUAUGGUAGUAUUUCAUGGAUUAAGGCUGUAAUUAAAGGAAUUAAAGGGCUAAAAAUGGAGGAUUAAGGCUUGAGUUAAAGAGGCCUUUAAGGGAGGAUUUGAGGGGUCAUUUGGACUCCGAUUUUAGUGUUCUUUAUAUGCUUAUUCUCGUGGGGAGACGGGGAAUCUAUUAAUAUAAAAAAUUCUGAGUUUCAAGAAGUGGGAUCGCGGGUCGAAUUUUUGUAAUUUCGGAAUAUGUGCCCUUUAUUGAUUAUUUUCGUUGCGUCGUUCCCUUAGCAUAUCUUUAUGUCCUCGUUCUGAUUUUGGAUAGAUUCGAUAUGCACGGAUGGCGAUUCGAGGAGCAACGGAUUCGGGAGCUAGAGAUUUAGCUGGUUCGAGGUGAUUAAUGAUUGUAAAUGAUAUUCUGAGAAUUUGAAACCCCACAUUGCACAUCAUAGUGCUAUGUUGAGGUGAGACACACGUUUGAUAACGAGUGUGGGGUCAUGUACUAUUGGGGAUUGUGACUUGGUCCAUCUCGAUUAAUGAUUUUACCGCGUAUUUGACUGAGACUUACUUGCUAUCAUCAUUAUUUGGGCUGAAUGUCAUAUUUGGGUUUCGUGCCAACUAUUUAAACCCUUCGGGAAUUUUUUAUUACUAUUUCCUCUCGAUUUUGACUUAUUACUCGAACUCAAUAAUGUUAAUUUUCACUGUUUUACUACUCAGCAAUGUUUACAAGUGUUAAGACUUAAAUGAUAUUUUGAAUGAUGUUUGGGCUGAGAAAUAUUGUUUUACUAUUAUCCGAGGGGUUUGUGAUAAUUUUUGGACUGAGUAAGGCUGAU
RNAcentral lists this long non-coding RNA (16070 nucleotides) under Nicotiana benthamiana. RNAcentral describes it as "long non-coding RNA (NBEN_LNC018547)". The record is from RNAcentral. Lineage: Eukaryota; Viridiplantae; Streptophyta; Magnoliopsida; Solanales; Solanaceae.